GCCACACCGCUGUGUUUUUGUUGUGGACACUCUAAUAACGGCGGACGGGCCUCUGGCAGUUCCCUCAGUUGUUACUCAUCUCCCCUCAUUCCGUUGUUGAAACUGUGCUACUUGGGUAAAAAAAUGCCCAUGUUUCUGUGAGAUAAAUAAAUCAGGGCAUCAAGAACGACCGUGAGGACCAGACAGAAUCAAGCUUUGAAAAGGGCUCCUUUCCACUUUCUGCUGAAAUAUCGGGUACUGUUCCUGAAGAAGAGGCCAACAAUCGAACUUUAAGGUAUGUUCUAAUAUUUAGAGUAACAUGGUGAUUGUGGUCUUGAGCACUUAGCCUUCCUAUGGACCUAUAGUUACAAACGGAAUCACAGACUCGUCCCCGGUUUCUGACCGCCCAUCACUAUAGCGCUUUGGAGAACACUGGCUGCCCACAAAGAACUGCUUGAGCCUGUGAGGCAGAGUGACUUGCCGAUUUUCACCAGCUGGAAGCCACAGCUCCAGAGGGAGCUCUCAGUGGUUUCUGGGGCAUUUCCUCUAAUCAAAGAUAUCUCCUAAUCUCCCAAGUUUUCAAUUCUGGAAUUGGAUACUCUGAUAGUCAUUGGAAAUCUAAUGCACUGGAGAGACAGACGGAAGCUCUCACAAACUCAGCAAGCAGGAGGAGGAUGUAGCCACGCGCCCCAGAUGAGGAACUCAAAGUUCAGAAGUUUUAGAUGUUGGACCAAAAUGAUAAAGCUAGAAACAAUGAAGGUCAGCUCUCGACUGAGACAUAGCUCUAUCUGAUCAAAGCCAAUGCAACAAUUUCACAUCACCUUCCUGAAGAAGGAAUUAAAGUCUGAGAGAAGUAAAGUGGAAUAUACAGAUGUCUAACAAUGAUGAAAUUGGGACAAAUGCACAUCUUUGCACUGAGGAUGCACAAAGGACUGACCUAUAAAGGAUUCAUCAACCUCAAAGAAGCAGCAUAAUCUCCUCCGUCCAUAGAAACUGUGGCCAAAGGGCUUGAGCAACUGGAGAUCUGAACACUCCUGAGGAACUAAGCAGUGCCAACUGCUGUCACUCAGAGGUCCAGCUACUCCUGUCCACUCACUCAUCCACCCAUUCCAGCAAACAAAAAUACACCGAACACCCAACACAUCCCAGGCGAUGCUACCUAGCUCCACACCCUCAUUUUUGUCCUUUGCUAGAUUCCCCCACACGGAUGUUCUGCAAGUUCCUACAGCUUGGCUUACUCAAAACCAACCUCUGCUUUCAGUGUGCCUUGGAUUUUUAUGGUCAUUCAGGUCACAUGUUUUCAGUAUGCUACUGGAGAGUAAGCUUUCUCGGGUGAGAUGCAUGCCCGAUGCACCUCUGAGUCCUCCAAAGCCUAGAGUCUAAGGACCCAGGCAGGCCGUACGGGCUUUCUUUACUGGACUCAUGACAUUUUUGUGUGAUCAGCGGCUUCACUUUCUCUCUCGUGGACUACCCUGUGAUAUUUUUUAAGAGUGAAUGAAAUGAAAGGGAGGGAAGGAAAAAACAUCUUGUAUUUUCAUCACACUUUAUCUUCCUAAGUGAUUUUCCCAUUUCAUUUGGGGUCAUUAUUUAUUCUCACAUCCACCAGUCCUCUUCCCUCUGCUGGCACGGGCAUUACUAUGAUCUUCCGAUUCCUCUGCCUUCCUUUAAUGUCUGUAAUAUUAGCUGUUAACUCUUGUUGCUUCUACUGCAACUUUGUCCAAAUCUUUUCUGUUCUCUUGGCCAUCAUCUUGCUUCAGGCUCUCUGUCUCUUGCAAAAGCUAUCAUAAAUGGUCUCCAAACUGGGCACCCCACACCAAUUCAUACGGCACGCACUGCUGCCUCAUAAACUUUCCUGAUUCAUGCUCUCAUUCUUUGCUUGAAACCUUCCAAGUUCCCUACGAUCCAUGGAAUUCACUCAGACCUCUCCGCUAGACUUGAAGGCUUUACAUAAUACGCCAUUUACAUUUUGGUUGUUAAAUGUCCCACUGCUGUCCUACUGACACCUUCUCCUCUUCCCUUGUACUCCCCAAUCAAACAGGACUACACACUUUUCAUUAAAUACACCUUGCAUUUUCCAUCUCUGUCACUUCUGCCUGGGCCAGCCUUCCUCAUUCUAUCUUUCGAGGCCGACCACAAACACCAGCUGUUUCGUGAAGUAGGUCCAGACACCCCAACAGACGGGAUGGCUGCCUCCUUUGAUAUUAGCAGCACUUUGCAUUGCCUUCUUGGAAUCAAUCUUGUUUGCUUGAUGCAUUUAAUCCUGUUUUAUUUAUAGUCUUUUGGUAUUUACCUUGUGUACUGCCAUAAAGUACCUUAAGGUAAGGAUCAGUAAUUUCCUUAUUUUGUGUUUUUGGCAGAGUCUAGUACAGAGCCUUGUACCUACAGGCAAUCAAUCAAAUAUCUGUUGGAGCUGAACUGUUCUCUAAACUUUGCUGUAAGCUCUUUGAGGACAGUGACUUUAAGUAUUGCUGUGUCUCUUGAUACAACUAAGGGCCUUAUACAUAACAGGUGAUUGAAACAUAUUUAUUUAAAUAACUUCCCAGUUCCAGAGCAAGAUUUUUCAAAAUACAUGUAAUACUGGCAUUAACCUAAAAUAUUCACUUAGAAAUCUCUCACCAAUUAACACAAAAGAAGAAGGAAAGAAACACUGACCUUAACAUUCUUUUCCUUUAGUUUUAUAUGAUAAUGCCUAACUCGUACUAGGUGCUUAUCAUGUGCCAGACUUUGUACUCCGAGCCCUACAAUGCCCAUCUCAUGUAGUCCUCACCCCCCAGCACCACGAGGCCCUGCCUUUCCCCCACUUAUGGGCAAAAGGUGCAGGGAAGUGAAGUGACUUGACCCCACACUGAGCAAAUGGCAGAGCUGAGAUUUGAACUCAGGCAGUUUCUGCCUCCAGAGCCCAUGGUUGUCACCAUCAUGGCACCCUAUCUAGACUGAGUUUACUGAGCCCCUUAAUUUUAACAGUCUGAGUUAAAAGAAAAAAGAAAGCUUCUAAAAAUAGUAAAAACAAGAACUUCUUGUCUUUUAGAUUAUUUUAAUGGACGGAAAAAUAAAGAAUUGUUACAUCUCUUUCAUCUACCUCAAUGUAAGCCUCAAAUUUAAGAGACAUAUUUGUUUUUUCUCAAACAACACGCCAGGUCCAUACUCGACUAUGCAUCCCAAAGGACAGAAGAGAUGACAAAGAUAACAUACUAGCAGACUACUGAAUAAUCAUUUAAUUUUGGAAAGCGAUCUAGAAAGCUCAGAAUCAAAGAAAACCACUUACUCCCCCUUCUCCAUGCAAGUCUUUUUACACACUCAAAAACUCUUGUUGGUGGUCUGGACUCUGAUUGGUUGGCAGACAAGGGAUGUGAGUGUUGUCACAGAUAGUCUACAAGUUAAAAAAAAAAAAAACAAAAAAAACAAACCCAGAAAUGUCUCUCUUUUUGAAUUUUCAUUCAGUCUGCAUAGAAAAGCACUUGUGCCAAUUCUGGCCAAGUGCUGGAAAAGAAUAUAUUAGCACCAAGCAGCUGAGAGACUGCGAAACUGGAGAGAAGGAAAAAGUAACGGCUGUAAAUACGAUGAGGGCACAUUGAGGGAAAAGUCGCACACUGUAAGAUAGAAGUCGUUGCUUCCCUUAGGGUUUCGGAGAUACAAGUAUGCUAAUCAGGGAUGGACUCCAGUGUUAGAUCCAAGGAACACCACUGCCAGCCCGAUCAUCAGUGUCUCUUCAACCUCCAAUGGAAAUAUUAAAGAUGAGAUUUAUUAACUCUAGCUGAAAUUAUAUGAAGCAAGGACAAAGUCUGAUCUUUAGUAAAAUGAAGUAGAAAAAUACCAGUUGAUGCUUCAACUCCUUGGGUCAUUUCUUUAGCUGCUCAAAGUUAGAAAAAAUGAAUAUAAAAAGUCAGAUCACAGUAACUUCCACUAUUAAUCGUAGCUACUGUUUUCUAGAUCUAAGUGCUAAUGUUAAAAACAGACCAUAUGUAUGAUGAA
Long non-coding RNA from Lutra lutra (Eurasian river otter), 3951 nucleotides. RefSeq lists it as uncharacterized. NCBI's taxonomy places the organism in Eukaryota, Metazoa, Chordata, Mammalia, Carnivora, Mustelidae. The transcript is spliced from 3 exons. The record is from RefSeq and is a predicted model, not a curated record.